This 550-nucleotide transfer RNA is filed under the name uncultured Prochlorococcus sp. Its description in RNAcentral is "partial may contain 16S ribosomal RNA, 16S-23S ribosomal RNA intergenic spacer, and 23S ribosomal RNA". The stretch from base 441 to 513 matches the Rfam family "tRNA". The record is from RNAcentral. Lineage: Bacteria; Bacillati; Cyanobacteriota; Cyanophyceae; Synechococcales; Prochlorococcaceae.
ACCCUUGUGGAGAAGGACGCCGAAGGUGGGGCUGAUGACUGGGGUGAAGUCGUAACAAGGUAGCCGUACCGCCAGUCCGAAGUCGUUACUUUAACCCUUGUGGAGAAGGACGCCGAAGGUGGGGCUGAUGACUGGGGUGAAGUCGUAACAAGGUAGCCGUACCGGAAGGUGCGGCUGGAUCACCUCCUAACAGGGAGACAAUAAAUUGAUUGUGAUUGUAUUUAAGGUCAAGCUACAAAGGGCUCAKGGCCGAUACCUUGGCACUCGGAGCCUAUGAUGUCUUAAUUGUUUCCUGAAUUGAUUUUGUGAUUGUAUUUAAGGUCAAGCUACAAAGGGCUCAUGGCGGAUACCUUGGCACACAGAGGCGAUGAGGUCAUAGCUGUUUCCUGAUGAUAAGGGUGAGGUCCCUGGUUCAAGUCCAGGAUGGCCCAUUCGUUGUUGGGGGUAUAGCUCAGUUGGUAGAGCGCCUGCUUUGCAAGCAGGAUGUCAGCGGUUCGAGUCCGCUUACCUCCACUGAAAACUAUCCUGAUAACUAAAUUCUGGAGAAAAA